CCUACGGGGUGCAGCAGUGGGGGAUAUUGCACAAUGGGGGAAACCCUGAUGCAGCGACGCCGCGUGGGUGAAGAAGCGCCUCGGCGCGUAAAGCCCUGUCAGCAGGGAAGAAAAUGACGGUACCUGAAGAAGAAGCCCCGGCUAACUACGUGCCAGCAGCCGCGGUAAUACGGAGGGGGCAAGCGUUAUCCGGAUUUACUGGGUGUAAAGGGGGCGCAGACGGGGAUGCAAGCCAGGGGUGAAAGCCCGGGGCCCAACCCCGGGACUGCUCUUGGAACUGCGUGGCUAGAGUGCAGGAGGGGCAGGCGGAAUUCCUGGUGUAGCGGUGAAAUGCGUAGAUAUCAGGAGGAACACCGGUGGCGAAGGCGGCCUGCUGGACUGCAACUGACGUUGAGGCCCGAAAGCGUGGGGAGCAAACAGGAUUAGAUACCCGAGUAGUC
RNAcentral lists this ribosomal RNA (440 nucleotides) under uncultured bacterium. Its description in RNAcentral is "partial 16S ribosomal RNA". It matches the Rfam family "Bacterial small subunit ribosomal RNA", at positions 338 to 795 of the family's 1533-position model. The record is from RNAcentral.